CAAGCAAGAUCGCUGGUACUUGGCCAGGCUUACAUUAGAAAGCGUGCAAGCAUUAUCGACUUCUUAAUGCUGAACAAGGAAGAGGUGAGCCUAAAGGCACGAGUGGACAUUCCAUAAGAGAGAAAAAAAUGUCCCACUGGCGCGACCACGGCCCGCUCCCGUGCAAAGUCUACGUGGGCAACCUGGGAUCAGGCGCGGCCAAGCAUGAGCUGGAGAGGGCCUUUGAGACGUACGGCCCGUUGAUCAACGUCUGGGUGGCACGCAACCCGCCGGGGUUUGCCUAUGUGGAGUUUCAGGACCCCCGCGAUGCCCAAGAUGCCGUGAGGGGGCUGGACGGCAGGAGAGUGUGCGGGUGUCGUGUCCGGGUCGAGAUGGCCAAGGGGCGGUAUGACGGCCGUUCCGGGGGGCGGUCUGGGGGCUACCGUGGGGCCCCUCCCCCAUCGCGAUAUCGAUACAGCGGCGGCAGCACCCGGUCUUCUCCUCUGACCUUAACAACCAACAACACCAACCAACAACAACACCACCACUGGGCAUGCCCUGUAUGCCUUACAGCCGGUGCUGUCACUGCCAACGCUGCGGCAACCAACACUUGGGCCUGUUUUUCUGACCGCGUUUACGGACAACCAAACCAUCCCACCCAUCGCCCAACCUGGGAGGGGGCCAGAUUUUGGAGCCAAUCUCACCCCUCCCCAAAUUGGUCCAUUAACACCGGAAUUGCAACACAGCGCUCUGUUGUAGUCUGCAAAAUCCUUGCUUCUAUGCAAAGCUGUGGUGGUGGUUAGUGUUUCUGUGUCUAAUACGGUUCUCCACCCCGAAGGGAUCGUUACAGCCGGUCUAGAAGCCGUAGCGUAGAAAGGAGACGUCGCCGCUCGAGUCGUCGUUCGCA
RNAcentral lists this unclassified non-coding RNA (886 nucleotides) under Acanthaster planci (crown-of-thorns starfish). RNAcentral describes it as "probable splicing factor, arginine/serine-rich 6, transcript variant X4". The record is from RNAcentral. Lineage: Eukaryota; Metazoa; Echinodermata; Asteroidea; Valvatida; Acanthasteridae.